GACGAACGCUGGCGGCGUGCUUAACACAUGCAAGUCGAACGGUAAGGCCCCUUCGGGGGUACACGAGUGGCGAACGGGUGAGUAACACGUGGGUGAUCUGCCCUGCACUUCGGGAUAAGCCUGGGAAACUGGGUCUAAUACCGGAUAGGACCACGCUCUGCAUGGAGUGUGGUGGAAAGCUUUUGCGGUGUGGGAUGGGCCCGCGGCCUAUCAGCUUGUUGGUGGGGUGAUGGCCUACCAAGGCGACGACGGGUAGCCGGCCUGAGAGGGUGUCCGGCCACACUGGGACUGAGAUACGGCCCAGACUCCUACGGGAGGCAGCAGUGGGGAAUAUUGCACAAUGGGCGCAAGCCUGAUGCAGCGACGCCGCGUGGGGGAUGACGGCCUUCGGGUUGUAAACCUCUUUCAGUACCGACGAAGCGCAAGUGACGGUAGGUACAGAAGAAGCACCGGCCAACUACGUG
Molecule: ribosomal RNA, 464 nt
Filed under: uncultured bacterium
Lineage: Bacteria
Description: partial 16S ribosomal RNA
Rfam family: Bacterial small subunit ribosomal RNA
Source: RNAcentral